UUAAUCUAGUAGCUUACGUCGUCUAUAAAUAAAUAACUAAAAGCUAUCAAAUAAACACACAAACAAUAAUAAAUACAUUGAUCUGUUUCAUAUUAAGCCUACACACCUACAUUAAGCCUUUUUAAAGUAAUUACAUUUAUUCAUGUCAAAGUAUUACCCAAGUGCGUUUCUAGGCAACAAAAAUCGCGCCGGCGCCAUUUUCCCUCCUUCAGUCGCAGCAGGAGGACGGGCUCAUGCAACGGUCAAGAAAAAUAACAGUCGGACUCAGAUAACGCGACUUUUAUAUUUUGAGACGGUUGGCAGACCAUCUUCCACAUCUCUCUCGCGCGCACGACGCCGCAGAAACUACAGCAACAGGUAAUGUAAACCCACCCAUAUUACAACCUUUAAACUUAUUGUUAAUAUUUAUUUAUGACCCGCUUCGUAAGUUUCACAUAAUAUAUCCUUGUAAUGCUAAUUCAGUUUACUAAAGCAAGCCGAAGCCCCGGUGAACAGAGGCUCGAGGGUCGUUUAUGAUGGCUGUUUUGCUAACGUUAGUUAACAUUUAAGACUGUUAUUUGCUCUUCACGUUUUCUAAUGUGAAACUCAUAAUAACAAUUUGUUGUCAUGCUUUUGAAAUUAAUCUUUUCAGAGCAAAGACGUUGAAAGGUGGUGUGAUAUCAACAUGGCUACAAUAAUAUGAGUAAGUAUAAUUCACAUUGAACAAAUCGAUGUGCUUUAGUAUGGUACGAAAUGCAAAUUGUCACGUUAUGAACAUGUUAAAUGCAUCUUUCUUCAAUUUAAAUUUUUAAAUUGCUAUUUUUGCAAAUGUAUGUAAUGAUGACCAGAAAUUUAUUGCAGCACAAAUGGUAAGUAUAUACUGAAGCAAUACAAUAUUUGUUUUUGCAACUUAUUAUAAUGAAAUUUAAAUCUAAACAUAUUGAUCAAUACAUACACAGCCCACACAAAAAAUAAUACAAACCUCAACUAACAUCAAGCUAUAUUGGUUCUUGCACACCACAUGAAUGGCAUCAUGACCUCCAAGGACCAAUGAUGUUUGAUAAUGUAUUGUCACCAUUUUCUGUAUUGGCAGAGAGAAUAACAACUUAAAUUUCAGUCUGUCUUGUCAUGUUGUAUUGCUUCAGAAGAAUACUGGUUACGUCUUAAGUUCUGGUUAUAGCUGACUUUAUUAAUAUGGAUAGAAAAAUUAUCUGUUGUGUUAUUUUCCACUGGCACUUAUCCUGAAGUUGACUUGGGUUUGUAUAAAGGUGUCAAUUAAUUGCUAAUCCUAGGUUGCAGUGAUUGAAAAUUGUCUUAUCAUGAAUCAUAAAAAUAAACUGACCAUAAAUGUUGUUUAAUUGUGAGUUAAACUAACCUAAUUUUUUGUUUUGUUUUCAAGGGCUGCAUUUUUUGACUUUGAUGUCAUUCGAAGUACGAUCUGGCGGGUCUUACUAUCUGUAAAGAAGAGUCUGCCGAUGUUUUUAAGACACAAGAAAAAGGAGCUUGACCAGGUGCAGAAGGCAACACUCACCAUCAUUGCUGUAGAGGAGGAAGAGGGAACUUUUUACCUUUUAACCCACUGGAUAUUUUGAUUGUCUUUGAAGAUGAGGUGAUGUCUGCCAAGUCAGUGCACUGCCUUUGGAGUACACUUAGUUCGUACAGAAAGUACUGUUGAAUUACCUUUCUUACAUAAAAAUUAUCUACUCUGUUUCUGGUGGUGUUAGAACAUAGUUAUUUUAUAUUAUUAAUUUAAUUUUACAAACUUUUACAAUUUUAAAAUUAAAAUUUUUAAACAAACAUAUUUCCUUGUUUGUGCGGUCUUAUACUUGGAGGGAAAAAAAAUCUA
Long non-coding RNA from Megalobrama amblycephala (Wuchang bream), 1825 nucleotides. RefSeq lists it as uncharacterized. NCBI's taxonomy places the organism in Eukaryota, Metazoa, Chordata, Actinopteri, Cypriniformes, Xenocyprididae. The transcript has 3 exons. The record is from RefSeq and is a predicted model, not a curated record.